UAGAAUGUGGUGUAUAUGGUAGCACGAAGAAUUUUGAGUUCUUAAGACUGGGUUCAAAUCCUAUGAUUCUAG
Molecule: transfer RNA, 72 nt
Filed under: Dremomys rufigenis laomache
Lineage: Eukaryota; Metazoa; Chordata; Mammalia; Rodentia; Sciuridae
Description: tRNA-Gln
Rfam family: tRNA
About the family: Transfer RNA (tRNA) molecules are approximately 80 nucleotides in length. Their secondary structure includes four short double-helical elements and three loops (D, anti-codon, and T loops).
Source: RNAcentral